CUUCUGAGCACGUGGUAUUCCCUUGCUUUGGGACCUGGGCCCUUUGUGGUAGCAGAAUCAGAGCACAGAGGACAAUGCCUGGGGGCUUAUAGUAAGACCCAGAGUGUUGCUGGAGGUCUCAGGUCUAUCCAAAUUGGAGCUAGUAGAGCCUGAAGAAAAGUGGAACCACCCAGCCAAGCCAAGAAGGGUUAGUACUUCUGCUUUGAGAGCAGACCUCACACAAACAGAUGGGAAGCAGAAACGAGGGAAGAGGAUUGAAGAUGAACCCACGUUUUAAAAGUCCUUGUCUGCAGGAGGUGGCAUUACCUGUGACCUCGCUUCACUUCUUCAUACAUGGCUGUUGUAGCAGGCAUGAGUUCCUGAGGUUUGCACCUUGACACCACAAAACAAUUUGAUAGCAUGAGAAAAUGCUGGAGAUAAAAGGCUGAGAGAAUGAGAACAAAUGUGGGAAGCCUUGGUCAAGUAGAAAAAGAAAUCUGGAAAAGAGAAGAUGCCUAAUGAAGUUGGAUGACUUAAGUCUCAGUUUGAUAUCUGCUGCUGCUAAGUCGCUUCAGUCGUGUCCAACUCUUAGCGACUCCAUGGACUGCAGACUACCGGCUCCUCCGCCCAUGGGAUUUUGCAGGCAAGAGUACUGGAGUGGGGUGCCAUUGCCUUCUCCGCAGUUUGAUAUCUAACGGAAAACAAAAAUUAAAUGCAAAAGUAUGAACAGGUUUCCUCAAACUGAACAAAGUACCGGGCAGCCAUAUUUUCCUAUAUCUUUGUUCAUGGUGUUUUUUCAGACGCGAAG
Bos taurus (domestic cattle) is the source of this 787-nucleotide long non-coding RNA. The record is from Ensembl. Lineage: Eukaryota; Metazoa; Chordata; Mammalia; Artiodactyla; Bovidae.